GGCUCGGUGGUGAAUGGUCCACACCCGCUUCCAGUGGCAGGAUAUCUGGGCUUGAAGCGGGAGACACCUGUUCGAAUCAGGUCUGAGCCA
Non-coding RNA from Mycena capillaripes, 90 nucleotides. The record is from the annotation of a GenBank genome assembly. NCBI's taxonomy places the organism in Eukaryota, Fungi, Basidiomycota, Agaricomycetes, Agaricales, Mycenaceae.